CCUAGGUACAAUUUUACAAAUACUGUAUUUAAUAUCUAAGUAAAUUAAUAUAAAUAGUAGUUAUAAAUGAUUUAUAUAUUAAAUUUAUUUUACAGGCUAUACUGGUUAAGCACUAUCUUUAAAAAUUUAAUAAAAACUAGGGCUAGAUGCCUAUUAUUUUCUUGUUAAAUUAGUUUAUGUAGUAAAGGUGUUACCCCUGAAACAUAAAUGGCAUGGCAGUAUUUUACCCCUUGUAGAGAAAUUUGUACCCUUAUUUGAUAAUCCUCAUUAAAUUUUACUUAAAUUUAUUUCAUGUGUGGUUGUUUAAAAUAAGUAAUUAAUUAUAAAUUAUUAAAUCAGAUAACAUGUGGAAAUAAUUAAGUUAUUAUUAAUUGCAAUUUUUAAAUGUUAAAAUGGAUUUACACUGUAUUACAUUAUUUGACAACAUUAGAAUCAUAACUUUAAGUUAAUAUUUAAGUAUGAUGUGGUAUUAAAAUAUGUUCAUAUUGUCCGUCACUCUCAGAGAU
This 506-nucleotide ribosomal RNA is filed under the name Pseudochirella pacifica. RNAcentral's name for it is "partial 12S ribosomal RNA". The record is from RNAcentral. Lineage: Eukaryota; Metazoa; Arthropoda; Copepoda; Calanoida; Aetideidae.